This 442-nucleotide ribosomal RNA is filed under the name uncultured bacterium. RNAcentral describes it as "partial 16S ribosomal RNA". It matches the Rfam family "Bacterial small subunit ribosomal RNA", at positions 338 to 795 of the family's 1533-position model. The record is from RNAcentral.
CCUACGGGGGGCUGCAGUGGGGAAUAUUGGGCAAUGGGCGAAAGCCUGACCCAGCAACGCCGCGUGAAGGAAGAAGGCUUUCGGGUUGUAAACUUCUUUUGACAGGGACGAGCAGAAGACGGUACCUGUCGAAUAAGCCACGGCAAACUACGUGCCAGCCGGCGCGGUAAUAAGUAGGUGGCAAGCGUUGUCCGGAUUUACUGGGUGGAAAGGGCGUGUAGCCGGGCUGAAAAGUCAGAUGUGAAAUCCGGGGGCUCAACCCCCGAACUGCAUUUGAAACUGUUGGUCUUGAGUAUCGGAGAGGCAGGCGGAAUUCCUAGUGUAGCGGUGAAAUGCGUAGAUAUUAGGAGGAACACCAGUGGCGAAGGCGACCUGCUGGACGACAACUGACGGUGAGGCGCGAAAGCGUGGGGAGCAAACAGGAUUAGAUACCCCAGUAGUC